GAGCACACUCGGGCGUGUUGUCCUUGAAUAGAGAAGGAGUCGAUGUACCUGGAAAAAUCCAGCCUUAACUUGUCCUUACGAAACAGGAGGGUCCCCAGGAAAGGGGGAGGUUCCAGGUUCCCUGCCCCACCCAAGGGAGGGUGGAGCUGAGCAGGGAGAGAAGAGGCUGCAGAGGAGACUGAGGAAGGAAGGAAGCAGGAUGGAGCCAGAAGGAGACCUGGAGGGGCACAUGGAGCCGAGAGACAUGUGAAGAAACUGCGCUUGCCUUUUGGUCGUGGACUGGGUGACACAGAUGUGGGUGAGACCCGUGGGGAGGUGACAAUGGGUCCCACAGGAUUGACCUUAACUCCACAGCGAUGGUGACAUGGAUUGGAAAAAGGCUGCGGUGGACAUCUUGGGAAAAGCCCAUCUGAACAUUUUUGGGGGAGGCCAGUUCUAUAUGGCCCUGUUUUGGGACUAGAUUGACAAGAACCAGAGUUCUGUGAGAGAAACAGGGAUGCAAGCUUCCGGGGGCUGGGCCACCCAGUGCCCUUCUUCAACAUUUCCUUCCAGCCCUUCUGUGGCAGUCCCUAGUGAAAACGAUCAUUGCUGGAAUGAUUAUAAUGAUGACCAAAUAAAAGAAAUAUG
Talpa occidentalis (Iberian mole) is the source of this 627-nucleotide long non-coding RNA. RefSeq lists it as uncharacterized. The record is from RefSeq and is a predicted model, not a curated record. NCBI's taxonomy places the organism in Eukaryota, Metazoa, Chordata, Mammalia, Eulipotyphla, Talpidae. The transcript is spliced from 3 exons.